AGAGUUUGAUCAUGGCUCAGGACGAACGCUGGCGGCGUGCUUAACACAUGCAAGUCGAGCGGAAAGGCCCUUCGGGGUACUCGAGCGGCGAACGGGUGAGUAACACGUGAGCAACCUGCCCUUAGCUUCGGGAUAGCUCCGGGAAACCGGAAUUAAUACCGGAUAUGACCACGGCCGACAUCGGCCACGGUGGAAAGUUUUUCGGCUAGGGAUGGACUCGCGGCCUAUCAGCUAGUUGGUGAGGUAACGGCCCACCAAGGCGACGACGGGUAGCCGGCCUGAGAGGGCGACCGGCCACACUGGGACUGAGACACGGCCCAGACUCCUACGGGAGGCAGCAGUGGGGAAUAUUGCGCAAUGGGCGAAAGCCUGACGCAGCGACGCCGCGUGGGGGAUGAAUGCCUUCGGGUUGUAAACCCCUUUCAGCAGGGACGAAGCGAAAGUGACGGUACCUGCAGAAGAAGCGCCGGCUAACUACGUGCCAGCAGCCGCGGUAACACGUAGGGCGCGAGCGUUGUCCGGAAUUAUUGGGCGUAAAGAGCUCGUAGGUGGUUUGUUACGUCCGCUGUGAAAACCUAGGGCUUAACCCUGGGCUUGCAGUGGAUACGGGCAGACUAGAGGUAGGUAGGGGAGAAUGGAAUUCCUGGUGUAGCGGUGAAAUGCGCAGAUAUCAGGAGGAACACCGGUGGCGAAGGCGGUUCUCUGGGCCUUACCUGACACUGAGGAGCGAAAGCGUGGGGAGCGAACAGGAUUAGAUACCCUAGUAGUCC
RNAcentral lists this ribosomal RNA (770 nucleotides) under uncultured bacterium. RNAcentral describes it as "bacterial SSU rRNA". It matches the Rfam family "Bacterial small subunit ribosomal RNA", at positions 8 to 796 of the family's 1533-position model. The record is from RNAcentral.